Molecule: long non-coding RNA, 4821 nt
Filed under: Sus scrofa (pig)
Lineage: Eukaryota; Metazoa; Chordata; Mammalia; Artiodactyla; Suidae
Description: lncRNA (ENSSSCG00030026406.1)
Source: RNAcentral
GAUUCAUGUUUUCAUUGCUUGUUUGAUACAGUGGCAGAAAACCAAAGUGACAGUGAUAUUAACCAGUUCUGAGUGGUCAUUCUCACUCAUCAUCAAACCAAGGCCUGGGCUGGCUCACUCCUAGAGUGUGUACAUGCUGAAAUUGGACACUUGGGGUUCACAAGGUUUAGAUAAGCUAUUUGGAUGACUACCACAUGAUGGGUCAAGGACAGUCAUGAAUUCUGAGGGGCAUCUGCUAGAAGGUCACAGAACUCCAGAACUGGGCAGCAAGGCUCUCAGAAGCCUUUAGUUGUGGUUUAAACUAUACUUUGAGGAACCCUCAGAAGAAGCCAGGAGGAGUCCUCUUUCACCUGAAGGGCUGUUCCUCCUGCAUGUGAUUGAUUUAUUUACAUGAUGAUGGAAGAUUUUGUCUGAAUAACAACAUCCAUGACUAAAGCAAACUUGGAAAUCCACUUAUCUCAUCCAAAUCCUUUAUAUUCUGGUGAAGGCCUGAGAAGAGGAGCCAUAAGCCUUCCAAACUUAGAGGCAUUUUAGGUUCUGGGAGAGAGAUGAUUUCUUUCACAAGAGGAGAGAAGGGGAGCUACUGUCAUGGCUCAGUGGUUAACAAACCUGACUAGUAUCCUUGAGGAUGUGGGUUCGAUCCCUGGCCUUGCUCAGUGGGUUAAGGCUCUGGCGUUGCCGUGAGCUAUGGUGUAGGCUGCAGACAAGGUUGGGAUCCUGAGUUGCUAUGGCUGUGGUAUAGGCCAGCAGCUACAGCUCCAAUUCAGCCCCUAGCCUGAGAAGGUCCAUAUGCCGUGGGUACAGCCCUAAAAAGACAAAAGAGGGGAGAAGGGUAAAAAACUAAAACAAAAUAAUGACAUCUAUGUCUACAUAUAUAAUCUCUAUCAUUUACCUUUGUACUGCUUGGUGAUUCUUACAGCCAGGAGAUGUGAAUUAGAUCUGUCUGUAUCCUUCCUGUGGUCAAGAUCACCUUCCUAUUAGACUGAGGGUCAGGUUUAUCUUCCAGCUUCUUUCUAUACCUUUGUGUGUGUGUGUGUGUGUGUGUGUGUGUGUGUGUGUAUACUGGCUUCCUUCAGCCUCAGUUGCUGUCCUAUGCCUCCAGGGUUCCUAAAGCAGAAGUGGUGGCCAGGUCUCUUUCCUGGCUAUGACACUGUCUCAAGAGGGGACUCCAUGUUUCCAUCUACUCGGUGUUUCCUUCUAGGAGCAACUUGAGUCUGGUUCUGUUCAGCAUCCUCAGAGAACUUUGUACAAUGCUUCUCAGAUAGGAAAUACUCUGUAAUGUUUGCUGAUUUGCAUCCAUUACUAAAAUUUACAGCAGGGAGAAGGCCCUUGUGAGAUCCUACCAGUUCAUUUUUUUGUUGUUGUUGGUUAUCCAAAGAACACAUUUUUCAAAUCCUAAUUAUCUCACCACUGGAUGGGAAAUAGACACCAUCCCAACUCCCAGGCAAAUACCUUUUCUGGAUGACCCUGGCAGCGUCCCAGGAAUGAGCUCAUUUUUCAGAAGGGGAUUCUUCUCCCAAACAACAAACCCCUGCUUUGGGGAAGAGAACAAGAAAUUCCUUUGGGAUUUCUCUUCUCAAGCUUCUAGAGAGCCAGUCUUCUGCAGGCAGAGAUGGCUUCCAGGCUGUUCAUACAUAAACUGCUGCUGGCGGGCUGGUGGCCUGUUUGAUAUUCUGAGGUCUAGCAAAGAUUUAGCUCCCGGGGGUCACCAAGAGGUCAUGGUCUCAAUGAUUUCCUCUGUUAUUUAUCUUUGGCUUGUGGUAUUGGAGCUUGCCUUUGAUAGAGGGCAUUUCUACCACAACUGCACAGAAUCAAGCACUUCAGUGCUUUGGUUUGAGGUGGAGAAGGGUUGGCUUCUAAUGCUCUGAAUAUGUCCCUGAGUACAUCUGAGAGUAUCUAAUUCUGCCCUUUUCUGAUGAGCAAAUUUAUUUGGGGAGCGGGGGGGGCUUCCAAGGCUCAGGUUAGGAAAGGAAUUGUCCUGGUGAGGUCAGCAGUUUUUAGUUUGAGUAAUUCCAUUUUCAGUUCCUUAAGAGAUACUCCUCUUGCUAUGAGACAGAGAUGAAAGCAGCACUUCUUAGGCCUCUGGGGUGCGUCGUUACUUUCCUGAACUGCUUAUGACUCACUUGCCACUGCCCUCAAUGCAGCCAGGGGACCAUUUAUGCUGAACCAGCCUUUGGAUUUCUCUUCUUAAUGACAGCAAACUUGUGUGGCCAGCUCACAGGUCAACUGCUGGAGCAUCCCAGGACUGGUCAGCUCAGCAGGCUCUUGGGUUUCCCAGGAGGACUCCUCAGCGUGUUUCAUGUGGGUUUGCUAACCCCAUCCUGUUUCAUUAUGAUUUAAGACAACCGUUAUCUCUCAUCUGGGUCAGAAAGUAUGAGUUGCCUAGGAUUUCAACCAUACAUGAGGGGCCUGAAUUAAACACCUAGCAUCGUGGCCUGAAAAACUGGUUGCAACAUGUCCUGUGCUCUCAUUCCCUCAAAAAGUAUCUCACCAAAUGGAAGCAUUUGGUUCUAGAAGUUCCUUUCUGUGUGCUGCUCCAUCUCUGCCACAGAGUGCCAGGACAGACAGUGUGCUGAGCUAUGUCGGGUCUGUCAAAGAAAAUGAUGUGAUGUGUGCUGAAGACAUUGCCAUCUGUGGGAGAAUGCAAUCUAGGCUCGACACAGAAGGAAAAGGAAGUGCUGUUACGUCAGGAAUAUGACCAGUUAGUCAAAUUCCCAGAACAGCCUGUUGCUUCUUACAGUGGCGGAUGUGUCCCAGCCUCUUAGCAGCCCCAGAUUUAAACUAAGGGAGAACUGUUAGGUAUAGGGGCUAGACAGGAAAGAGGAGUGAUAUGUUUUACAUAUUUUCUGGCAGUGGAUUUCUAUAUGAAAUCCAGUUUACUUAGUGUCCUAGGGCACUGAAACAAAAGUUUUAUGAAACAAUACCUAUAUGUCACCAUGUUAUUUUCUUUUUCUGUUCUUUUCCCAUUCUUUGCUAUUUUAAUUUAAAAAAUUCUCAGCUCUCUAAAUUGCUAUUAUGAGCCACUUAUAGGUCAAAGCCCAUAUUUCAAACAACAGCACAGCAUUAGCAUAUAUAAGCAGCAUCCUAGGAAAUUUUAUAUAAUAUGGAUCCCUGGGCCUUUCUCCAGAAAUUCUAAUGUAUCCAGUCUCAGGGCCACCAGAUUUGCAUUUUAUAUUAUGAAAUUCUAAUUUGACCAGUGUGAGAACAGGGAAGUGUUUUGAUCUUUGAUAUAUCCCAAGUGUUUUGAAUGGAGACCCUGAUACAGAAUAGACACUUGAUCAAUGUUGGCUGGAUAAAUGAAUGAAUGAAAAAGUAUACCUAGUGAUUUAAAUUCAAGUGGCCUAGAGAUUACCAUUGUGUUUGAUUUGUCUUCAAUUGUCUUAUUGGAGUUCCUGUCAUGGCUCAGCAGAAAUGAAUCUGACCAGUAUCCAUGAGGAUGCAGCUUCAAUUCAUGGCCUCGCUCAGUGGGUUAAGGAUCCAGCAUUGCUGUGGCUGUGGUGUAGGCUGGCAGUUGCAGCUCUGAUUCAACCCCCUAGCCUGGGAACCUCUAUAUGCUGCUAGUAUGGCUCUAAAAAAACAAAAAAAAAAAUUGUGUUCUUUUGGAGAGAAACAUUUUAUUUCACUAAAAUUUCAAGCUUACAGAGAAGAUGAAAAAAUAGGACAAAGAUGUCUCUUUAUCUUUUAUUUAAAUUUCUAGUUUAGCCACAUUUGCAUUUCUCAUCUCCUUAUCUAUUUUUUUUCUUCUAAACCAUCUGAGAGUUAGUUGUAGACAAAAUGCCCCUUUACUACUAAAUACUUCAGCUUUUUUUUUUUUUUUUUUUUUUUUUUUUGCUUUUUAGGGCGGCACCCACAGCAUGUGGAAGUUCCCAGGCUAGGGGUUGAAUCAGAGCUGUAGCUACUGGCCUACACCACAGCCACAGCAACACCAUAUCUGAGCCAUGUCUGUGACCUACACCACAGCUCAUGGCAACACUGGAUCCUUAACUCACUGAGUGGGGCCAGGGAUGGAACCCACAACCUUAUGGUUACUAGUCAGAUUUGUUUCUGCUGAGCCACUACGGGAACUCCCAGAAUGUAUUUUCUAAAAACAAGAACAUUCUUUUAUUUGGGUUACAAUCUGAGGGGCCCCUAGACUAGAGGUUAAAUGCCUAGAUUAUUAAACAGUGCACAGUGCCUAUCUUCAAGUGACUCCAUUCUCCAUCCUAGUCCCACCAGCACACUUCCCUUUGUAUCCGUACUAUUCUCCUUGGUUUUAUAUGGAAAUAGUCAAUCUCCAGACUCUGAGUCUCUGACUUGCUUCAAGUGCCCCCACUGGGUACACCCCUAAAUCUUCUAAUUUGUGCAUUCUCCAAUGCAGAAAUUAUCUAAACGCCUCUGAGUUCUCUGGGAAAAUUUAAAUAAAUUGCAAAUUCCUAGACUUCAGCCCUGGAGGUUCAAUUCCGGUAGAUGGGGGUGUAUGGAAUCUGCAUUCUCCCACCUCAACCCCCACCUCUCUUGCCUUCCUCCAGGUGGCAAUGGCUCAGCCAGGGUUGGGAAGCACAGUUCCUGUGACCUCUCCCCACUGUGGACUAUUCUAGUUAGUAAUCACCCAGACUCUGCUGGAUCACUUCCUGGGAUGGCAGAGAGAAGCCCCCAGAGGUCUGCUGCCCAUUGGAAAGUUCUGCUGGUUAGAAAUUUCUUUUGGUCAUUAGCUUCAGUUUAGCUUUCCUAAUGCUACUGGUCUUGGUUCUGCUCUCUGAAGCACCUUAAAACAAGGUCGAAUGGCAGCCUAUUUGUUCCUUAUAAAAAUAUAGUAAAAGUAUAAAAAUACAAAAAUAAAAC